RNAcentral lists this ribosomal RNA (447 nucleotides) under uncultured bacterium. RNAcentral's name for it is "partial 16S ribosomal RNA". It matches the Rfam family "Bacterial small subunit ribosomal RNA", at positions 29 to 523 of the family's 1533-position model. The record is from RNAcentral.
AACGAACGCUGGCGGCAGGCUUAACACAUGCAAGUCGAGCGCCCCGCAAGGGGAGCGGCAGACGGGUGAGUAACGCGUGGGAAUCUACCCAUCCCUACGGAAUAGCUCCGGGAAACUGGAAUUAAUACCGUAUACGCCCUACGGGGGAAAGAUUUAUCGGGGAUGGAUGAGCCCGCGUUGGAUUAGCUAGUUGGUGGGGUAAAAGCCUACCAAGGCGACGAUCCAUAGCUGGUCUGAGAGGAUGAUCAGCCACAUUGGGACUGAGACACGGCCCAAACUCCUACGGGAGGCAGCGGUGGGGAAUAUUGGACAAUGGGGGCAACCCUGAUCCAGCCAUGCCGCGUGAGUGAUGAAGGCCUUAGGGUUGUAAAGCUCUUUCACCGGGGAAGAUAAUGACGGUACCCGGAGAAGAAGCCCCGGCUAACUUCGUGCCAGCCGCCGCGGUAA